GAGAAAUAAAUCGACUGUAUAUAUAUAGGAGACACCCAAGGUCUUAAAAUAUAAACAUUCUCUUUUCAUUAUUUAAAGUAUUAUUCACAAAUUUUCCUCUCAUACUAUUAAGGUAUUACGACGAUGCUGUGUGCUAAGAAAAAUGUGUUUAGACGCAAAGGCUCCUCAUCUUUCAUCGACUCUGCCACCCACUUUGCCUUAGAAGUUCAAUAAACAUGUACAGCCUAAUAAAGGACUAACCCGCCAAGGCAAUGGGAACUCAGAAGAGCUACAUUGUGUCAUUGCUGUUAUUCGACAUUAUGUUUUCUUAGCAUAUAAAUCACCUUUAUCUCAUCUAUACUUCUAUCUAUUAAAAUUUUGUUAUUACAUGACAGUGGCGAUCGAACUCCAAAACAGAAGGUGAAACUAAAUGUUACAGAGGAGAAACUGUUAAACCUGAUGCUGAAGUACAAUGGUGGAAAGCCAAGAGCUGAGACAAAACUAAAAAGUGCAGUCCAGUUGCAAGACCUAUUAGAUGCAACAAGAAUGUUAGUUCCCCGUACAAGACCAGGUCGUGAGAGUGAUAGUGAUCCAGAAGACCUUGAACAUGCUGAGCAGCUUCGCCAAGUUAAAGCAGUUAUUGAAGAGGUUCUUUAGUAUUUUCUUUUUUUUUUGUUGAAUAUAGUCCGAGAAAAGUAUUACAUAGUAUCAUUUAGUAAUACUAUCUUAUAUCAUUUUUUUGUUGAAUAUACUAUCUUAUAAGUAAAUUAGCAUUAUGCGUAUUUUAUUUAAUUCAUGAGGUCAUUUUCAAAGCUGUCAAAAAACCUAGAAAAUUAAUAAUCGAACCAGCUACCUUUUUUUAUUAGACCGGAUAUUAGUUCCACCAAUAAUCGUGGUCAACCUACCAACAUGGUGCAUAUAUGUCAAAUUGACAAAUCUACGUUUAAGUAACCCAACCUGUAAGGGAUUUAGAUUUUUUUUAUGAAUCUCGUGGACUGAUCUAUCGUAGAUUGGGGUUCAUAGGUGAAGUUUCAAGAAAUUGUUAUAAUUUGAUUGGUCGGUUGUUUUUACUUUUUAUUUAUUUAAUUUAGAUCUAAAAAUUUAAGAUAAGUCUAAAAUCAUUUAACAUCACUUGUCAUAUAAUCUAACGAAUAUUACAAAUAACAAUUUAUGAAAACUAAUUUUCGAAAUUAUAGAAAGAUUAAUAAUGUUUUGUUUAUUACUUUUAAUA
Molecule: long non-coding RNA, 1210 nt
Organism: Brassica rapa (field mustard)
Lineage: Eukaryota; Viridiplantae; Streptophyta; Magnoliopsida; Brassicales; Brassicaceae
Source: RefSeq, a predicted model, not a curated record